GGGGAUUUAGCUCAGCGGCAUAAGCGCCUGCCUUGCAAGCAGGAAGUCAUGAGUUUGAUCCCUGGUACCCA
Molecule: transfer RNA, 71 nt
Organism: Cavia porcellus (domestic guinea pig)
Lineage: Eukaryota; Metazoa; Chordata; Mammalia; Rodentia; Caviidae
Rfam family: tRNA
About the family: Transfer RNA (tRNA) molecules are approximately 80 nucleotides in length. Their secondary structure includes four short double-helical elements and three loops (D, anti-codon, and T loops). Further hydrogen bonds mediate the characteristic L-shaped molecular structure. tRNAs have two regions of fundamental functional importance: the anti-codon, which is responsible for specific mRNA codon recognition, and the 3' end, to which the tRNAs corresponding amino acid is attached (by aminoacyl-tRNA synthetases). tRNAs cope with the degeneracy of the genetic code in two manners: having more than one tRNA (with a specific anti-codon) for a particular amino acid; and 'wobble' base-pairing, i.e. permitting non-standard base-pairing at the 3rd anti-codon position.
Source: Rfam